GCCCUCGUAGCUCAGUGGAUAGAGCGACCGCCUCCUAAGCGGUAGGUCAGCAGUUCGAUUCUGCUCGAGGGCGCCA
Molecule: transfer RNA, 76 nt
Filed under: Rugosibacter aromaticivorans
Lineage: Bacteria; Pseudomonadati; Pseudomonadota; Betaproteobacteria; Nitrosomonadales; Sterolibacteriaceae
Also listed under: 2 other names
Description: tRNA-Arg (CCT) (tRNA-Arg-CCT-1-1)
Rfam family: tRNA
About the family: Transfer RNA (tRNA) molecules are approximately 80 nucleotides in length. Their secondary structure includes four short double-helical elements and three loops (D, anti-codon, and T loops). Further hydrogen bonds mediate the characteristic L-shaped molecular structure. tRNAs have two regions of fundamental functional importance: the anti-codon, which is responsible for specific mRNA codon recognition, and the 3' end, to which the tRNAs corresponding amino acid is attached (by aminoacyl-tRNA synthetases). tRNAs cope with the degeneracy of the genetic code in two manners: having more than one tRNA (with a specific anti-codon) for a particular amino acid; and 'wobble' base-pairing, i.e. permitting non-standard base-pairing at the 3rd anti-codon position.
Source: RNAcentral